This 381-nucleotide ribosomal RNA is filed under the name uncultured bacterium. RNAcentral's name for it is "bacterial SSU rRNA". It matches the Rfam family "Bacterial small subunit ribosomal RNA", at positions 355 to 755 of the family's 1533-position model. The record is from RNAcentral.
UGGGGAAUAUUGCGCAAUGGGCGAAAGCCUGACGCAGCAACACCGCGUGAGGGAUGACGGCCUUCGGGUUGUAAACCGCUUUCAGGAGGGAAGAAAAUGACGGUACCUCCAGAAGAAGGUGCGGCCAACUACGUGCCAGCAGCCGCGUGACACGUAGGCACCAAGCGUUAUCCGGAUUUAUUGGGCGUAAAGAGCUCGUAGGCGGUUCGGUAAGUCGGGUGUGAAAUCCAAGGCUCAACCUUGGGACGCACCUGAUACUGCUGUGACUAGAGUGCAGUAGGGGAGCAGGGAAUUCCUGGUGUAGCGGUGGAAUGCGCAGAUAUCAGGAGGAACACCGGUGGCGAAGGCGGGUCUCUGGGCCGGAACUGACGCUGAGGAGCG